AGCUUAGAGCAGAGUUUCUCAAGAGCUGCAAUACUGGCAUUUGAGUCAAGUCGUUCUUUAUUGUUGGUGGUGGAGGGGGCACCCUGUAUAUUGUAGGACGUUGGGCAGCAUCUCUGACUUCUACCUACUAGAUGCCAGUAUCUCAGUUUUCUUAAAAGACUUUUUUUUUUUUUUUUUUUUUUUUGAGAUGGAGUCUUGCUGUGUUGCCUAGGCUGGAGUGCAGUGGCACCAUGUCGACUCACUGCAACCUCCGCCUCCCCGGUUCAAGCGAUUCUCCUGCCUCAGCCUCCUGAGUAGCUGGGAUUACAGGUGAGCACCACCAUGCCCAGCUAAUCGUAAAAGACUUUUCAUAAAACUUCAGAACUCCUUAAAAACUAGUGAAUAGCCAAGGUGAAGAAAGCCCUCAGGCUUCUGACUUUAGACCCCAAUCCCUGGGACUCCCACACUCAGCAAAGAAAGCUGGGUGCCUGCACCCUGGAUCUCUGAGCAAACCUGUCUUAUGGCUGUGGGCAACUCAGGAACAUGAAUUAGCACGAGAAUCUGGAGUUUUUCUUUCCUUUUCUGGGUCUCACUCUGUCACCCAGGCUGGAGUGCAGUGGCGCAGUCAUGGCUCCCUGUAACCUCAACCUCUCAGACUCCAGCAAUCCUCCUGCGACAGAUGUCAAAGAAAGAAAUGCAGAUCCUUCAGUUCAACUCUCAGUUGCAGUAAAGCCACCUACAGGAUCAGGUCAUACUAAACUGAAAUGUUGUUAUUAUCCUUUUCUGUAAGGGAGGCAGUCAAUGGUGAAUGCUGGCCUCGCUGAUUACUCACCUGGAGACCUUUCUGAGGAUCAGUUUUCUCAUCUAGAAAAUGGGACAACUGCCAGACCACUGAAGAAAAUACAGAAAACAGCCCCACACAUCAGCAUGUUUGGUUGCUGCCAGUCUACUUGGAUCUGAGUAUUUUUUCUUGCCAUGAAUGUGACGUGAUUAUCUUCUCCUACAUCACACUGAAGUUUUAUGAAUGAUGCUUUGAAGUGGGAAGGGCCAGAGAGUUAAUAUUUUCGGCUUCUUGGGCCAGCUGGUCUCGGUGGCAGCUACUGAGCUCUGCCACUGCAGCAGAGAACGGGCACAGGCGAUAUGGAAAUGAUAGGCGCGGCUGUGUUCCAAUAAAACUUUAUUUACAAAAAUGGGCAGUAGACCAGAUUUGGUCUGUGUCUUAGAGUUUGCUGACCCUGCUUUAAAGAAACAUCAAAGAGAUUCUACCAGCUGAUUUCCUUGCUCCCAAAAUUCUUGUAAGGACUAUGGCUGAGUUAGGAAGUUAUGUACUUUAAUAGCUAAUUUCAGGCCUGGCGUGGUGGCUCACGCCUGUAAUCCCAGCACUUCGGGAGGCUGAGGUGGGUGGAUCACUUGAGGUCAGGAGUUUCAGACCAGCCUGGCCAACAUGGCGAAACCCUGUCUCUACUAAAAAUACAAAAAAAUUAGCUGGGCGUG
Molecule: long non-coding RNA, 1473 nt
Filed under: Homo sapiens (human)
Lineage: Eukaryota; Metazoa; Chordata; Mammalia; Primates; Hominidae
Description: non-protein coding lnc-SLC38A8-2:10
Source: RNAcentral